RNAcentral lists this ribosomal RNA (253 nucleotides) under uncultured prokaryote. RNAcentral's name for it is "partial 16S ribosomal RNA". It matches the Rfam family "Bacterial small subunit ribosomal RNA", at positions 524 to 776 of the family's 1533-position model. The record is from RNAcentral.
UACGUAGGCAGCAAGCGUUGUUCGGAGUUACUGGGCGUAAAGAGUGCGUAGGCGGUUCCGUAAGUUUGUUGUGAAAUCUCCCGGCUCAACUGGGAGGGUGCGCCGAAUACUGGCAUGCUCGAGUACAGGAGAGGAAAGCGGAAUUUCUGGUGUAGCGGUGAAAUGCGUAGAUAUCAGAAGGAACACCUGUGGUGUAGACGGCUUUCUGGACUGUAACUGACGCUGAGGAACGAAAGCGUGGGUAGCAAACAGG